This 253-nucleotide ribosomal RNA is filed under the name uncultured bacterium. Its description in RNAcentral is "partial 16S ribosomal RNA". It matches the Rfam family "Bacterial small subunit ribosomal RNA", at positions 524 to 776 of the family's 1533-position model. The record is from RNAcentral.
UACGUAGGGGGCAAGCGUUGUCCGGAUUCAUUGGGCGUAAAGGGCGCGUAGGCGGUCCUGUAAGUCUUGUGUGAAAUCCCUCGGCUUAACUGAGGAACUGCACGAGAUACUGCGAGACUUGAGUUCGGGAGAGGAAAGCGGAAUUCCGGGUGUAGCGGUGAAAUGCGUAGAUAUCCGGAGGAACACCGGUGGCGAAGGCGGCUUUCUGGACCGACACUGACGCUGAGGCGCGAAAGCUAGGGGAGCAAACGGG